UACAGAGGGGGCAAGCGUUGUUCGGAAUUACUGGGCGUAAAGGGCGCGUAGGCGGCCCUCUAAGUCAGACGUGAAAUCCCCUCGGCCUCAACCGGGGAACUGCGUCUGAGACUGGGAGGCUUGAAUCCGGGAGAGGGAUGCGGAAUUCCAGGUGUAGCGGUGAAAUGCGUAGAUAUCUGGAGGAACACCGGUGGCGAAGGCGGCAUCCUGGACCGGGAUUGACACUGAGGCGCGAAAGCCAGGGGAGCAAACGGG
RNAcentral lists this ribosomal RNA (255 nucleotides) under uncultured bacterium. RNAcentral's name for it is "partial 16S ribosomal RNA". It matches the Rfam family "Bacterial small subunit ribosomal RNA", at positions 524 to 776 of the family's 1533-position model. The record is from RNAcentral.